GUCUAAGCAGAGCCCUUGAAUGGUAAAGCCGCGAAUGGCUCAUUACAACAGCCACAGUUUAUUGGGUCUCCAUUUACUUGGAUAACUGAGCUAAUUGUUGAGCUAAUACACGCACCAAAGCUUCGACCUCACGGGAGGAGCGCAUUUAUUAGAACAAAACCAAUCGGACUUCGGUCCGUCCAUUGGUGAAUCUAAAUAACUUAGCCGAUCGCAUGGUCUCGCACCGGCGACUCACCUUUCAAAUGUCUGCCUUAUCACCUUUCGAUGGUAGUUUAUACGCCUACCAUGGGUUUUACGGGUAACGGAGAAUAAGGGUUCGACUCCGGAGAGGGAGCCUGAGAAACGGCUACCACAUCCAAGGAAGGCAGCAGGCACGCAAAUUACCCACUCCCGGCACGGGGAGGUAGUGACGAAAAAUAACGAGGCGGUUCUCUAUGAGGCCCGCCAUCGGAAUGGGUACAAUCUAAA
This 468-nucleotide ribosomal RNA is filed under the name unidentified nematode Sourhope farm. RNAcentral describes it as "SSU rRNA". It matches the Rfam family "Eukaryotic small subunit ribosomal RNA", at positions 57 to 529 of the family's 1831-position model. The record is from RNAcentral. Lineage: Eukaryota; Metazoa; Nematoda.